Molecule: long non-coding RNA, 1080 nt
Filed under: Phasianus colchicus (ring-necked pheasant)
Lineage: Eukaryota; Metazoa; Chordata; Aves; Galliformes; Phasianidae
Description: lncRNA (ENSPCLG00000002273.1)
Source: RNAcentral
AAAAAGAGCAUGGUUAGAAGAUUGAGGGAACUGAUCCUCCUCCUCUACUCUGCUGUGGUGAGGCUACAUCUGGAGUACUGUGUCCAGUUCUAGGCUCCCCAGUUCGAGACAGAUGGAGUAGUUCUAGAGAGAGUCCAUCUGAAGGCCACAAAGAUAAUUAGGGACCUGGAGCAUCUCCCUUAUGAGGAAAGAAUGAGAGACAUAGAACUAUUCAAUCUGGAGAAAAAAAAAGGCUGAGAGGACAUCUUAUUAAUACUUAUAAAUACGUAAUGAGCAGGAAUCAAGUGGAUGGGGCCAGGCUCUUUUCAGCAGUGAUCAGUGGCAGGAAGUUCCACGUGAACACGAGAAGAAACUUUACUUUGGGGAUGUCAGACCACUGGAACCAGUUGUGAACUAAGAGAUCAUCUGGACUGGGAGGAUUCAGAAACUGCAGAGCUCUGCAAAACCAUGGGGAUGUGUAGGGAAAACAGAGAAGGAGGAAUAAAGUGGGUGAUAGGUAGAAAAGAGUAUAAAAGGGCUAGUCACAUAUAAAAUAUGGCCAGUUAACAUGCUUGUCUGUCUGAGCCCUGUGCCUGAUCACUGCAGUCUGUCCUAUCUUCCUAUAUUUUCUCAUGAAAUCUUAAUCUCUUCACAUCUGUACUCUUUUUCAUGUGUAUUCGUACUGAAGAUCUAAUUGCCAGCUCCUGGAUGAGCUAAUAUAUGCAACUACAGCAAAAUUCAAGCUGGACUAGCUGGAGAAUAGGCAGCCUGUGAAGUGGAUAUGAGGGCCCAGGAUCCAAGCAGGGGUGCUGCAUGCACAGAAGGGCCAUGCCAGUACUCAAAUAAUCCUGGUGAGAGGAUGCUGGACAAAGAAGCUGUGCUGAUUCUUGAGAGGUCUGAUCAUGCCAGGAGCAGUAGUGGAGGCUACUUAUUGCGAAGCAGUGAAAUGAAAUCAAUGAAUCAAUCCAAUACUUGUUGCUGCAGUGUUUGACAGUGAGAAGCCAGAGAAUUUGGAGCAGAAUUUAGCACAUCACAUAUCAUUCUUAAAGGGGAACUCUACUUAGCAAUGUUUUAGGAAGAUUGCCUCAGCAAAUGGCAGCA